Molecule: ribosomal RNA, 460 nt
Filed under: uncultured bacterium
Lineage: Bacteria
Description: partial 16S ribosomal RNA
Rfam family: Bacterial small subunit ribosomal RNA
Source: RNAcentral
CCUACGGGCGGCAGCAGUGAGGAAUAUUGGUCAAUGGACGAGAGUCUGAACCAGCCAAGUCGCGUGAAGGAUGACUGCCCUAUGGGUUGUAAACUUCUUUUAUAAAGGAAUAAAACGAGGCACGCGUGCCUGUUUGCAUGUACUGUAUGAAUAAGGAUCGGCUAACUCCGUGCCAGCAGCCGCGGUAAUACGGAGGAUCCGAGCGUUAUCCGGAUUUAUUGGGUUUAAAGGGAGCGUAGAUGGGUUGUUAAGUUAGUUGUGAAAGUCUGCGGCUCAACCGUAAAAUUGCAAUUGAUACUGGUAGUCUUGAGUACAGUUGAGGUAGGCGGAAUGCGUGGUGUAGCGGUGAAAUGCUUAGAUAUCACGCAGAACCCCGAUUGCGAAGGCAGCUUACUAAGCUGUGACUGACGUUGAUGCACGAAAGUGUGGGUAGCAAACAGGAUUAGAUACCCGUGUAGUC